GAUGAACGCUGGCGGCGUGCUUAACACAUGCAAGUCGAACGGUGAAGCAGAGCUUGCUCUGUGGAUCAGUGGCGAACGGGUGAGUAACACGUGAGCAACCUGCCCCUGACUCUGGGAUAAGCGCUGGCAACGGCGUCUAAUACUGGAUAUGAGCUGCGACCGCAUGGUCAGCAGUUGGAAAGAUUUUUCGGUCUGGGAUGGGCUCACGGCCUAUCAGCUUGUUGGUGAGGUAAUGGCUCACCAAGGCGUCGACGGGUAGCCGGCCUGAGAGGGUGACCGGCCACACGGGGACUGAGACACGGCCCAGACUCCUACGGGAGGCAGCAGUGGGGAGUAUGGCACAAUGGGCGAAAGCCUGAUGCAGCAGCGCCGCGUGAGGGAUGACGGCCUUCGGGUUGUAAACCUCUUUUAGCAGGGAAGAAGCGAAAGUGACGGUACCUGCAGAAAAAGCGCCGGCUAACUACGUG
Molecule: ribosomal RNA, 467 nt
Filed under: uncultured bacterium
Lineage: Bacteria
Description: partial 16S ribosomal RNA
Rfam family: Bacterial small subunit ribosomal RNA
Source: RNAcentral